This 653-nucleotide unclassified non-coding RNA is filed under the name Nothobranchius furzeri (turquoise killifish). Its description in RNAcentral is "partial 3' external transcribed spacer". Lineage: Eukaryota; Metazoa; Chordata; Actinopteri; Cyprinodontiformes; Nothobranchiidae. The record is from RNAcentral.
GGGGUCCUAGCCCCCGUACCUCCCACCCUCCUCCGCAUCCACCAAACGGGAAGACCAGUCGCGGAGGUGGGUGGAACUCGGUGGCCCAGCAAUGCAACCCCCGGACCUCCGGGGCCGGUCCCAAGUCCGGAUCAAUGCAGAGGGAUGAGCCACUGCCUGAAGCCGAGGUGUCAGAAAUUUUCUAAGUGUUGAACUUUUUCUAAGUGUCAGCACGCAGGAGCUGGAAAUUUUCUAAGUGUUGAACUUUUUCUAAGUGUCAGCACGCAGGAGCUGAAAAUUUUCUAAGUGUUGAACUUUUUCUAAGUGUCAGCACGCAGGAGCUGGAAAUUUUCUAAGUGUUGAACUUUUUCUAAGUGUUGAACUUUUUCUAAGUGUCAGCACGCAGGAGCUGGAAAUUUUCUAAGUGUUACUUAGGAUUACCAGUGUGCGAAAAUAAUUUCUAAGUGUUGAACUUUUUCUAAGUGUCAGCACACAGAAGCUGGAAAUUUUCUAAGUGUUAAUUUGGAUUACCAGUGUGCGAAAAUAUUUUUCUAAGUGUUACUUAGGAUGACCAGACGUACGAAAUUGGAUUUGGAUGACCAGGCUGCUGGAGGUCCAGCCGGCGUGGACUAGGGUCUUUAACCCAGGGGAGGGUGCUUAAUAGUGGGCCGCAG